ACGGAGGGUCCGAGCGUUAAUCGGAAUUACUGGGCGUAAAGCGCGCGUAGGCGGCUAAGUCAGUCAGAUGUGAAAGCCCCGGGCUUAACCUGGGAAUUGCACCUGAUACUGCUUAGCUAGAGUACAGAAGAGGGUGGUGGAAUUUCCUGUGUAGCGGUGAAAUGCGUAGAUAUAGGAAGGAACAUCAGUGGCGAAGGCGGCCACCUGGACUGAUACUGACGCUGAGGUGCGAAAGCGUGGGGAGCAAACAGG
This 252-nucleotide ribosomal RNA is filed under the name uncultured bacterium. Its description in RNAcentral is "partial 16S ribosomal RNA". It matches the Rfam family "Bacterial small subunit ribosomal RNA", at positions 525 to 776 of the family's 1533-position model. The record is from RNAcentral.